AACCGGAGCUAAUACCGGAUAAUAUUUUGAACCGCAUGGUUCAAAAGUGAAAGACGGUCUUGCUGUCACUUAUAGAUGGAUCCGCGCUGCAUUAGCUAGUUGGUAAGGUAACGGCUUACCAAGGCAACGAUGCAUAGCCGACCUGAGAGGGUGAUCGGCCACACUGGAACUGAGACACGGUCCAGACUCCUACGGGAGGCAGCAGUAGGGAAUCUUCCGCAAUGGGCGAAAGCCUGGCGGAGCAACGCCGCGUGAGUGAUGAAGGUCUUCGGAUCGUAAAACUCUGUUAUUAGGGAAGAACAUAUGUGUAAGUAACUGUGCACAUCUUGACGGUACCUAAUCAGAAAGCCACGGCUAACUACGUGCCAGCAGCCGCGGUAAUACGUAGGUGGCAAGCGUUAUCCGGAAUUAUUGGGCGUAAAGCGCGCGUGGGCGGUUUUUUAAGUCUGAUGUGAAAGCCCACGGCUCAACCGUGGAGGGUCAUUGGAAACUGGAAAACUUGAGUGCAGAAGAGGAAAGUGGAAUUCCAUGUGUAGCGGUGAAAUGCGCAGAGAUAUGGAGGAACACCAGUGGCGAA
Molecule: ribosomal RNA, 577 nt
Filed under: uncultured Staphylococcus sp.
Lineage: Bacteria; Bacillati; Bacillota; Bacilli; Caryophanales; Staphylococcaceae
Description: bacterial SSU rRNA
Rfam family: Bacterial small subunit ribosomal RNA
Source: RNAcentral